This is a long non-coding RNA of Patella vulgata (common limpet), 651 nucleotides long. RefSeq lists it as uncharacterized. The record is from RefSeq and is a predicted model, not a curated record. NCBI's taxonomy places the organism in Eukaryota, Metazoa, Mollusca, Gastropoda, Patellidae. The transcript has 5 exons.
CUAUAGUAGUAGACGUUAAGUUGAUGUGCGCGUGAUACUAUGACAAUAUCCUAUCUCAUAUCAUGUAUUUUAAUUAUUUUCACGGGAAUAAUCACCGAGGGAAACAGAUAUGUGCGAUCAUCAGAAGAUAUGGAGCAGGGGCUUUCCCCAAACCACCCGGAAAAUAUGUGUAAUGCAUGCUCUGUGGAGGACCGGGCAUGUACACGGGAAACGCCCGUACCCUGUAAUAGUGUUUACUCAACAACUUCACCUAACUAUGAGACGACCUCCAACAACUAUGCUUGGUUUCAUCACGGAGAUUAUGCUGAUUUCUUUAUCUCCUCACCAGCUCCCAGAACUGGAGUAUGUCUAGAAACACAGACGUUCAAAUGUCGAUAUUAUAAAUGUUCUGAUGCUUGUUGUAAAGGAUGGAUGAUGGAUCCGGUCACAAACCGAUGUACAAUAAAAAGUGUGGAACCGGUAACACUGGAGUGCUAUAAUGGAGGAACAGCGAUUAACACAGAUGAUGGAUUGGUGUGUGUUUGUAAGCAUGACUUUACUGGGCAACAUUGUGAAACAUUCUUAUGCCACCCAGUUUGUCAGAAUGAUGGAUUGUGUGAUUAUAUUGAUGGAGCUCCCAGAUGUGUCUGUAAAGAUGGCUACGAAGGCAUG